GGACGGCUGAAAGUGCUUCUGGAUGGAAGUGUUGCACAGGUGGACGGAGCUGAUGAAAAUAACGGAAGUGAGGCCAUUAAGGUGUAACCUCAGCACUGCCAUCACCAUCUUCCUCCCUGUUGCCAUGGCAAUGACUGGCUCUCUGGACCGGAUGGGGGACACGACGUUCCACCCACCCUCUGGCCCACAAGGCGGCACGGAUCACAGGGUACGGUCCCUGCACUGAAAACACUUUCUUCAGCUGAGAAAUUGUGAAAGAGAGACAGAAAGGGUCACAUGGAAAUGAUGAGUUCUUAUAGUGACAUCUUACGUGUAGAUAAAAUCACCUUGACUGCUUUUGCCACUAGUGCUUUAGCUGUUUUUAGCCUGUCUGGCUUGAUCGCUGGCAGGGUCGGCACUCUGCGAUGUAACGUCCCCUCCACGGGAGCCACUGUGGAUUGUUGCAGAGAGAAACUGCUUGAUUUCAGUAAAUAACUAACUGUGAGCACAACACCUGGAUGCAUUUGAAAAAGCAGAUCUCUAUUCACUUACGUGACAUUUGUUGCAUGGUUAUAUACUUCUCUGUCCAGCCGAUCAGCAAGCAGUGCUCAGUUCUGACAGUCAGACAGACAAAGAGAGAGAUAGAUGGAUAGAUCUACAAAUGCCUUCUUACCAUUUCCAUACCUCUUCACUGUUAGACAUGGUAUCCUCAGCUGUUGAGGAAUAAACAUUGCACAUUUGUAUUGUCCGAAGGAGUCAUCUAAAUCUGGACAGAGCUGACUGAGGCUUUCAUAACUUCUCAUUGACUAAAGUUAGCCAUUUGCAAAAAGGGGCGCUUGCACACACGGAUCAUCAGAUAAUAUGAAAGAAUAUGUUUUUUGAAGAAGCAUGCAUAGGGUAGGAAAUACGUAAACAGAAGGCUUGGGUUACAUCCAUGUUGAACGACCGUUGACUUCCGUCUGUCAAACAUUAAAGACUGCCCUGAAUUUACAUCUCAAACAAAAGCAGCUGCGAUCGUUUUACUGAGCGAUAUUAUACAAACCUUAUGUUGUCACCGCCGCAGUGACUCGACCACUCUGCCCAAAAACUCGCUCAGUCCCCCGUCCUUCACGCUCUCACAGACCGUUCCCAUAACAACCGUCCAUGCUCCCACAGAAUGUUUAUGGUUGCCACAACAACCUAACCCAGGAGAAACAGGACACCGUGGAGGACAAUGAAAAAAUCCACCACCUUUCUAUGGGGUCAGAUCAGUCUCAAUAAUUGCAAAUGGACACUGAAGGAUUUACAAAUACAUUUCAAUGCACACAUGAAUAAAUUAUGAUUUAUAUUCAUAUUUGUAGAUGCUUUACAUUUGUGUGUGGGGUUGUUGAGACUCGUCUGACGUGAAUGAUGGCGAUGAUUGAUGGUGCAAAAUCUGCAUACAAAAUGGGGUAAAGAUAUAAUUCUAUGCAUGGUGUGUAUGAUGUAUGAUGUAAAUUGAAGCUCCCCAGCCACUUCCAGACUAGAAGAUGCUCCACCAGGACAUGAUGAUGGCCAACAGUUCUUGUUUUGGACUGGAAUUCCUAUUCACAUAUGCCCUAGUUUCUGAAGUUCUUUGAUGAUUAUUUCAUUCAAGUGUUCAAUACCAAUACAGUUAACCCAUACAAAUGACCACUUCCUUGAACCACAGUAAAGCAGUACAUUCUUUUGUUUUUUUAUUUUUUUUAAUGUACAAAUUGUAAUCAAGAAAGACAUGAGUAAGAACAAUGCAAACUUCUAAUUAAAGGCUCUUACGCCAGUGUUAAGUAAACAAAUACAGACAAUACAUGUUCUCUUCUAUGUCAUGUCAUGAGCACUUAAUAAAACUAAAUCCUGACAGCAUGCAAGCUGUAGCUUGGAGGUUGCCUCCAAGAUGUGUUCCAGUCUAUCGUGCAUAUGUGAAGGAUGUCAGCCUCAGUGAUUCCUAGAGGAUAGAUGCAUAAUAAACAUGAUAAAAAUCUGUGUUA
This is a non-coding RNA of Gasterosteus aculeatus aculeatus (three-spined stickleback), 1964 nucleotides long. The record is from RefSeq and is a predicted model, not a curated record. Lineage: Eukaryota; Metazoa; Chordata; Actinopteri; Perciformes; Gasterosteidae.